CCACCUCUCACUUGGGUACGAUUCGUGGAUGAGAAAAAAAUUAGAAAACCCCUCGACACCAAUAGAGAGCUCCGCCGCUGCCGGCCGGGAUCCACGGCCGGCGUUGCUGCCGCGUGCUCACCAGCGCUGCCCCUAGAGAUGUGCUGCUUGACGAGCCGAAGCCCCCUACCGGUCGCGCUCCAGGUUCGUCCUCGACCACUGCCGCUCGACGCGUUCCAGGUUCGUCCUCGACCACCGCCGCUGGACGCGCGGCUGACCCGCCGCAGAUCCCGCCGGUCGGACGGGCCCCCGAGGCCUGCCGCUGGACGUGCUGCUUGAUGAGCCGACGCCCCCUACUGGUCACGCUCCAGGUUCGUCCUCGACCACCGCCGCUCGACGCGCGGCUGACCCGCCGCAAUCCCCGUGGUCGGACGGGCCGCCGAGGCCUGUCGCUGGACGUGUCGCCGAGGCCUACGGCUGGACGCACGACCUAAUUGGCCUUGGUCGACACCACUGGGUGUGACAAAGUCACUCUACCUGGGAUUGCAGCUAGCAGAUUCAAGUCUGCACGCAAGCUGUUUGUGCAGACAAGCAUUGAUAAUAGCAGCACUUGGUUUUGUUGAGUUUAGCAUGGAUAAGAGUUGGAUGGAGCAGUGAGGAAAGUCGAAAGAUGGUCAAGAUGCCAUCCAAAAGUCGAAGUUGAAUGGGACACACAGCUGAUUGGUUUGUGUACUUCUAAUUGAUUGCAUCAAGCUGGAACACUCUUUACAUUGUUGUCACAGCAGUAGGCAGUGUACCUGUGUGUUACAUUGUUGUCACAAAAGUAGGUAGUGUACCUGUGUGUUACAUUGUUGGCCCUGUGUUGGUGAUUGAUACUUUGAUGUCAUUUUCAAAUUUGUGAAGAUGUUCUGAUGCUUUACAUUAUUCGCUUGCACGAUGAUACUUCUAGCCGAUGCAAGCCUCUCAAUCUUGUUCUACUAUUGUAUAUGUGUGUUUGUACAAUGGUUGCAAAUUAGUGAGCUUGCUGUAACA
Triticum urartu is the source of this 1011-nucleotide long non-coding RNA. RefSeq lists it as uncharacterized. The record is from RefSeq and is a predicted model, not a curated record. NCBI's taxonomy places the organism in Eukaryota, Viridiplantae, Streptophyta, Magnoliopsida, Poales, Poaceae.